Molecule: ribosomal RNA, 497 nt
Filed under: uncultured bacterium
Lineage: Bacteria
Description: partial 16S ribosomal RNA
Rfam family: Bacterial small subunit ribosomal RNA
Source: RNAcentral
GACGAACGCUGGCGGCGUGCCUAAUACAUGCAAGUUGAGCGCUGAAGGUUGGUACUUGUACCAACUGGAUGAGCAGCGAACGGGUGAGUAACGCGUGGGGAAUCUGCCUUUGAGCGGGGGACAACAUUUGGAAACGAAUGCUAAUACCGCAUAAAAACUUUAAACACAAGUUUUAAGUUUGAAAGAUGCAAUUGCUUCACUCAAAGAUGAUCCCGCGUUGUAUUAGCUAGUUGGUGAGGUAAAGGCUCACCAAGGCGAUGAUACAUAGCCGACCUGAGAGGGUGAUCGGCCACAUUGGGACUGAGACACGGCCCAAACUCCUACGGGAGGCAGCAGUAGGGAAUCUUCGGCAAUGGACGAAAGUCUGACCGAGCAACGCCGCGUGAGUGAAGAAGGUUUUCGGAUCGUAAAACUCUGUUGGUAGUGAAGAACGUUGGUGAGAGUGGAAAGCUCAUCAAGUGACGGUAACUACCCAGAAAGGGACGGCUAACUACGUG